Esox lucius (northern pike) is the source of this 1061-nucleotide long non-coding RNA. Lineage: Eukaryota; Metazoa; Chordata; Actinopteri; Esociformes; Esocidae. The record is from Ensembl.
GCCAAGUAGGCUAUAGCACAGCGAGUGUGAGAAUUAAACAAGUAAUAAUAAUAAUGAUACAUAGGUUAUUUAGGCUUUUCUAAACACUUUGUCCUUGUUGUUUAAAUAAAGUUUAAAUACGCUAUCUACUUAUUUAAAAUCACAGAAUAAUUUGUCUAAUGAAAUAUCUAUUUAAGUAACUAUUUUUCUAAUCUUAACUUGGCAUUACAGUUUAAAUUACAUUAAAUAAAAGAUUAAUACAUGCGUGUUAAAAGUAUCCAAUUCCGCGCAUGUGUCGAAUGCAUUUGAUUAAUCAACGUCAUCGCGCAUCAGGCUGCAGUCAUCACUUCCCGCCUUCCUAACGGUUGUUUCUGCCUCCUGACUCCUGACUCUGAGAUACCUUAGCCAGAGCAUAACUGGUUAUCUUCACCCAAGAGACUUAGUGUUGGUCAAUAGUUUUGGCUUUAAAGGCUAAUUACUGGGCCAAAAGGAAAAUAAUAUUGAAAAGAGUUGAGAGGGACAAACAGGACAUUCACUUGAAUCACUACAUGCUAAAGAAGUUGCAUCGAUUCCAGAAAACCAGGAAAAUGUUGAGCCAUCUGUAGACUUAAGAGCUGGUUUCUCCCCAGUAAUCCAGACUCCACUUCACAGAGCCAAGAGUUUGAGUACAACUCGUCAAGUACUAAGCUUUACACCAACAGCAGCAAAUUUACCCUGGCAGCAUAUGGGUGAAAACGCUGGAGGAGAAAGUCAUCGCUUUGUUAUUGGCCCUUGGACACCCCUGGCAUCUCGUGUACAGCACAAAGUUUUCAGCUAUGAAGAUUUCUAGAGACUCCAGAAUGAAAACCAAGCUCUGAGGGAGGAGAACCAAGCCCUGGGGGAAUGCAAUGCACAAGCAGGUGAGAACGUGCAUACCAUACCAUACCAUCAUCUACCGCUUAUCCGGGGCCGGGUCGUGGGGGCAGCAGUCUAAGCAGGGAUGCCCAGACUUCCCUCUCCCCAGACACUUCCUCCAGCUCUUCCGGGGGGACACCGAGGCGUUCCCAGGCCAGCCGGGAGACAUAGUCCCUCCAGCGUGUCCU